AUCUAUGGCUGUCCUGAACAAGCCCAAUCCCAUCUGAUCUCUGAAGCUAAGCAGGGUUGGGCCUGGUUAGUAUUUGGAUGGGAGACCACCUAGGAAGACUAGGUGCUGUAGGCA
This 114-nucleotide ribosomal RNA is filed under the name Pteropus alecto (black flying fox). Lineage: Eukaryota; Metazoa; Chordata; Mammalia; Chiroptera; Pteropodidae. The record is from RNAcentral.